This 1509-nucleotide unclassified non-coding RNA is filed under the name Nilaparvata lugens (brown planthopper). RNAcentral describes it as "gastrula zinc finger protein XlCGF57.1-like, transcript variant X7". Lineage: Eukaryota; Metazoa; Arthropoda; Insecta; Hemiptera; Delphacidae. The record is from RNAcentral.
GUGUCCAAGUGAUUUUGCAAAUCUUGGCUUGGAUUGUUGGCUGGUAGUGCAAUCUAAUAUUAUUAUAGUUUGGUAGUUUAUUUUAUUUUGGCACAAUAUUCAUUUGGAUAAAAAAUACUAGAAUGGAGUCAGAAAUCAAGGAAGAAAUUGAAGCAUUCCUGAAUACUCCAAUGGAUAUUGGCAGAAGCGACCAUGAAUCAUCCUUGAAGGCUGAAUUAGACUAUGAGAAUCAGUCAAAAGUGUCCACAUGUGACCAAAUAACAGAUAGCAAAUCACCAGUCUCAGAGCACAAUUCAUUAAGUGGAGAAUCAGAUUCCAGGUUGACUAAGGCCAUUGAAAAAGAAGUGUGUGGUGGUAGAAUAGCCGAAGUAGUAUCAUUAAGGCUGGAGGAUUCGUUUGAAGGCUGCAAUCAACAGAAGUCGUGUCCAUACCAGAUGGCGACAGUUACUGUUAAAAAGGAGGAGGAGGAGGAGGAGGAGGAUGAUGAUGAUAGAAGCCAGCAACCAGCUGCAGUGGAAGAUGAUUGCAGCCAACAACAUUAUCUAAUCCCUGGCUACAACAUGAUCUUUAUCAAAGAGGAGGCAUAUGACGAUCAAGAGGCUGAAGGAAGUGCAGUGAAGAGUGAACCAGAGAUGUGGCCUUCAAACUGCAGCACAUCUGGCCGAGACUAUGCAACAGAAGUGGGUGGACUGAAUGAGCAUUCAAUCUCUCCAGUGGAAAAGUGCACUGAGUCAUCUGUGGCUGGCAAAAAGAUUAAACUCCACAGCUGUGCUUACUGUAGCUAUGAAACAGCAAGGUUCACUGAUUUCAAGAGGCACAUUGGAAAACACACCGGAGGAAAACCAUUCAAUUGCGAGUUUUGUGACUACAAAAGUGCUAAGUUAGAUAAUAUGAAAAGACAUAUCAGAACUCAUACAGCAGAAAAACCUUUCAGUUGCGAGUUUUGUGACUACAGAAGUGCAAGGUUAGGUAAUUUGAAAGCACAUAUCAGAACACAUAAUGGAGAAAAACCUUUCAGCUGCGAAUUUUGUGAUUUUAAAAGUUCAAGGUUAGGUGAUUUGAAAGCACAUAUCAGAACACAUACUGGAGAAAAACCUUUCAGCUGCGAGUUUUGUGACUACAAAAGUGCUGAUUUUAGUAGUUUGAAAAAACAUCUCAGAACACAUACUGGAGAAAAACCUUUCAGCUGUAAGUUUUGUGAAUAUAAAUGUGCUGAUCCAAGUUGUUUGAAAAAACAUAUUAGAACACAUACUGGAGAAAAACCUUUCAGCUGCGAUUUUCGUGACUAUAAAAGUGCAACGUUGGGUGAUUUAUGUCCACAUGUGACCAAAUAACAGAUAGCAAAUCACCAGUCUCAGAGCACAAUUCAUUGAGUGGAGAAUCAGAUUCCAGGCUGACUAAGGCCAUUGAAAAAGAAGUGUGUGGUGGAAGAAUAGCCAAAGUAGUAUCAGUAAGUUUGGAGGAUUCGUUUGAAGGCUGCAAUCAACAGAAGUUAUGUCCAUACCAGGU